AUACUGGUAGCUCAGUGGUAGAAUUCUCACCUUCCAUGCAGGGGACCCAGGUUUGAUUCCUGGCCAAUGUA
RNAcentral lists this transfer RNA (71 nucleotides) under Loxodonta africana (African savanna elephant). It matches the Rfam family "tRNA". Rfam says of the family: Transfer RNA (tRNA) molecules are approximately 80 nucleotides in length. Their secondary structure includes four short double-helical elements and three loops (D, anti-codon, and T loops). Lineage: Eukaryota; Metazoa; Chordata; Mammalia; Proboscidea; Elephantidae. The record is from Rfam by way of RNAcentral.